This is a long non-coding RNA of Cryptomeria japonica (Japanese cedar), 1199 nucleotides long. RefSeq lists it as uncharacterized. The transcript is spliced from 2 exons. NCBI's taxonomy places the organism in Eukaryota, Viridiplantae, Streptophyta, Pinopsida, Cupressales, Cupressaceae. The record is from RefSeq and is a predicted model, not a curated record.
AGGUUUUUGACCAGACUUCUUGACAUCUCCAUUUUGCAUAUGUUGAUAUUAUUUAUAGUGUUUGAUGUCAAAUCAAAAGAGAUUACCGGGAAGUGCCCAACAGCGUAAAAGGCGGAGACUCCCAUUCCGGGUCGGUCGGGGGAAUUGUGCAGAUAGAUGCGUUCAGACUCCUCUUUUUCCUGAUCUGCCAGCCCGGUAAAACCGGUAACAUCACCUCUUAACAUCACCUCUCCACGCUUGCCAGCGAAGCAACCAACCUUGUCGGUUUCUCAGACAAAACCCUUCUUUCAAUUUGCUGUAUCCCUCAAUCCUUUUCACUAAGGACUCAAACAAUCUCAUCCCGAGGCAAGAGCGAAAGAUGCAAGAUUUCCUUAUAUUAUGGGUUUGCACAAUGUUCGAGCACAGAUGGAUCUGAUGAUGAGAUGAGAUAGAUAUUUUUUCUAAUUAAUCCAGAGCUCAGAGGGCGAAGAAAAAGAACAAUUCAAUUUGGAGGAAGAACUGAUGAAGCAGCAGGCCAAGCCAAAACCCAUUGCAGGAUCGUGGAGAGAAAUCCUAUGUUUGAGCUGGGUCAUCAUAAGUUUCCAUGUGAGGGUUAUUAUCAUGCGCCCCCUUGCUCUAGCGCUACUCAUUUCUUUUGCCACAUUCAUUGCAGGCGUGCCAAACACAAUGAUCUCGGGGGUUUAUACGAAACAGUCUUCUCUGAGUAUUAUGGAUUAUUGCUUGCAGGCCAAUGGGCUGUUCCCAACUUGAGGUUUUGAAAAAUCUUUGUGCUUAGGAAAUAAGAAUUCCUUGACGUUUGAAACCCUAGAUUAUGAUUUGGCUUUCUCAGUUAUGUUUUCGUUUUUCUACAACGCCUUCAACACUUUCAAAUUAGCUUUGUAAUCUCCCUGAGAGAGGUUGCAGAGCGGGGAAUCAAGUGCCGAUGGUCCGACAGUUAGUUUAGAAGUAGUUUUAUUAGAGAUUUUGAUGUAAGAGAUGCAUUCAAGGUUGCACAUUGCUCUAGAUUGGACCCACCAAAGUUUAUCAUGGCGGAUUCUGUGGAAUUUAUCACUUGGGCAAGGUAGUUCAUUGUCAUCUACUUUGAUUUAUGUAGGUUUGAGCUACUAUAUUUAGCAUUGUUGUAGUGAAUGCAUCACUCACAUAAUGUCUCGUCUGUAAUAUUUAGAAAAAAAUCAUUUAUCAGAUUGUUGCUUUGCUAA